UGCUGUUUUGGCAGCCCAUAUUCUGAAAUUAGAACAAUACAGAGAUGAUUAGCACAGUCCCUGAGUAGGGAUGACACACAAAUUCGUAAAGCAUUCCACAUCUUU
Ornithorhynchus anatinus (platypus) is the source of this 105-nucleotide non-coding RNA. NCBI's taxonomy places the organism in Eukaryota, Metazoa, Chordata, Mammalia, Monotremata, Ornithorhynchidae. The record is from Rfam.